Molecule: ribosomal RNA, 253 nt
Filed under: uncultured bacterium
Lineage: Bacteria
Description: partial 16S ribosomal RNA
Rfam family: Bacterial small subunit ribosomal RNA
Source: RNAcentral
UACGUAGGGGGCAAGCGUUGUCCGGAUUUAUUGGGCGUAAAGAGCGUGUAGGCGGCCUGACAGGUCUGCUGUGAAAACUCGAGGCUCAACCUCGAGAUGUCGGCGGAAACCGUCUGGCUAGAGUCCGGAAGAGGAGAGUGGAAUUCCCGGUGUAGCGGUGGAAUGCGCAGAUAUCAGGAGGAACACCGGUGGCGAAGGCGGGUCUCUGGGCAGUAACUGACGCUGAGGAGCGAAAGCGUGGGGAGCGAACAGG